Molecule: non-coding RNA, 10715 nt
Organism: Equus caballus (horse)
Lineage: Eukaryota; Metazoa; Chordata; Mammalia; Perissodactyla; Equidae
Source: RefSeq, a predicted model, not a curated record
CAGGGCUGGCCUCAAGACAGGAAUUUAAAUAUUUCACUACAAAAAUAUCAACUAAGCACAAAAGAAGACAGUAAUGCAGGAAAUGAAGGAUGAAAAAAGCUAUACGGCAUAUAGAAAACAAAUAGCAAAAUGACAGAGAUAAGUCCUUCCUUAUCAGUAAUUACUUUAAAUGUAAAUAAAAAUAAAUGUAAAAUCUUUAUUCUCAUGGAGUGGGUGGGAUGACCAAGAUCAUGUGAAAAUACAUACCUGAGUGACUAAAUAAGUGUUUCUCUUUCUAUUCCCUUUUUUUUAUUCUUGCAUAUUGUUUCUCUGUUUAUUGUAACCAUACCUUCUUAACCAUAAGCCAUCUCAAACACUUCCUGAAAGUAGAUGGGCUUUAAAACGGAUUUUAAAAUAUUAUUAUGCCUGUUCGUGCCUCACCACCUUAUUUGUCUAAGGGAGUGUUACAUCCCUUGGGUGCCCCUACAUUUUCCCUCCUCCAGAAGGCCCCCAACUUGGAGAGACUGUCAACGGGAGAGAGUGUAGAAACUUCCACAUGUGGGUGGCUGAGGUAGCUUCUGAUUACAGUUUAAAUGUAAAUAGAUUUUUAUUUCCUCUCUUUUUCACAUAACCUUGAUCUGUCUUUCAUUUCACUGACCUUUUCUUCUACAGUAUUCAAUCUGUUUGUAAGCCCAUCUACUAACAUUUUCAUUUCAAAUAUAGCUAAAGUUCUAGAAUGUCCAUUUUUUAAUAGCUUCCCUUUCCUUGCUGAGAAUUCCUAUCUGUUCCUUCAUUUUGACCAAGUUCUACAUUAAAUCCUAACGUUUUUAUAAUAGGUGCUUUAAAGUCCUUGUUUACCACUUCCAACAUCUGAGUUACAUUGGGGUUCAUUGCUCUUCACUGUGGGUCACAUAUUCCUGUUUCUCUGCAUGUCUAGUAACUUUUCAAAAUGAAUCCCUGACAUUAUGGAUGACAUGUUGCAGAGUCUAUGGAUUCUCUUAUUUUCCUCUGAAAAGUGCUGAUUUUUGUAUGAACAGAUAGUUAACUGGGCUGGACUCAAAUUCCAACCCCCAUUUCUCCUGUAGGGGGCAUCAGCUGAUAUCGCUCCAUUUUUACAGCCUUUCAGAAGUUGCUGUUUCCUGAGGAAACUUCAGUCUUUGCUCUGCAUGUUGUUAUCCAAGGUUUUGGUCAGAGUUUCUAUGCUGAUUUGGGGUACCCCACUCUGUGUCUCCAUCUUUCUGGGAUUUUCUCUAUUACUUUUCAGCCUCCUUUAUACCUACCAACUCCAUCCUCUGACUCCUCCAGUAUUUCUAUGUGAGUUCUAGUCACCCAGCUCUGUGUGAAUUGGGGGAUAACCUCAAAGGAAAAGCUGUAUGAACGUGAAUUUUACCCAACACACUUCCCACCUUCAAAGACAGCCUGUUUUUGGUCCCUCUCCUUGGCCUUCAAAUAGUUUUAUUUAACCUUUUUUUAAAAAAAUUUCAUCCAGAGCUUAUGACUGUCAUCUAUGAGAGCAUUAGUCUGGUGUAAUCCACUCUACUGUGACCUAAAACAGACUCUAAUUCUGUAUUAGUUUAUUUUAAUUAUCCUCCUUCAUUAUCUCCCUUUUUCUUUCUAGGAAGAAUGGAAAUCAAUAGGAAAUUUCUAACAUGGAUAUGGAUUUUAUUUCCUGUAUGGAUCAUGUAUGGUCUCAAAAUGUUCUGCUUGAAAACUGUCUGCCCUCUUGAGAUUCUCCACGUCUUCCCAAACCACUGUACCAUGAAUGUUAAAUCUCCAAGGAUAGAAGCUGUAUAAAAUUCUUAUCUGAUCUUAGGAAAACGAGAGAAAAGAAUGAGAUACAAAAGAAAAACAAUUAAACUGUUAUUGCUUUCAUUGUUUCUAUGGGCCUUACAUAGAAAGUGUCAUAUCAGCCCAAAGAAACUACAGAGGGUGUAUCGGUGCUGGUCUGUGGAUACUCAAUCAGAAGAAUUAAAGCUGUCAGACUGGUUUCUUCCCAGUGCAUCCAAAAACUUGACUACUACCAACUGGUCAGCUCCGGUUGUGUGGGAUGGCACUUACAAUGAAAGAAUAUUGGAAAAUUAUUAUGCAAAUCAUAAAAUUACAGUGGGGUUGACUGUGUUUGCUGUGGGAAGAUACCUUGAGCGCUAUUUGAGAAGAUUUAUAGCAUCUGCUGAUAAACAUUUUAUGGUUGGCCAGAAAGUCAUAAUUUAUGUCCUGACAGAUGACUUCUCCCACAUGCCAUGGAUACAGCUGAGUCCCCUCCAUACCAUGAAAGUUUUUGAAAUUAAGCGAGAGAGGAGAUGGCAAGAUGUCAGUAUGAUGCGCAUGAAGACUAUCAGUGAACAUGUUGUAAAUCACAUCCAAUAUGAAGUUGACUUCCUCUUCUGCAUGGACGUGGAUCAAAUCUUCUUAAGAAAAUAUGGAUUGGAGACUCUGGGGGAGUCAGUAGCUCAAUUACAUGCUUAUUGGUAUAAUGCAAAUCCUAUGGAGGUACCUUAUGAGAGAAGUCAGUUAUCGGAAGCGUAUAUACCUAUUGGUCAGGGAGAUUUUUAUUACCAUGCUGCUGUAUUUGGUGGCACUCCCAUUCAGGUUCUCAAUAUUGCUAGGGAGUGCUUCAAAGGAAUCAUGAUUGACAAGAGGAAUAACAUUGAAGCAGUGUGGCAUGAUGAAAGUCACUUAAACAAGUAUUUCUUUCUCCAUAAACCCACUAAACUCUUAUCACCAGAAUAUUGCUGGGAUUUUGAUAGAAAACGAAAUCCUGAUAUAAAGUCUGUCAAACUCUAUUGGGCUAUUAAGAAUUAUAAAUAUGUCAGAGCAACAAUAUAAUUUUAUAGCCCUUCCUUCAUGUUUCUGAAUUUAAGAGCACCUUUUAAUCUUAUUCCUGAGAAAAUUAGCAGUUGACAAAUUUUAGCACUAACAAAAUGGCAAGCCCACCAACACAGCAUUCUCAUACUUUCCUCACAUUCAUUUUGAACCAUAUAACAUGGGAUAUAGCAGUUGCAGAAUGAAUAUAUUGACAUCAGAUGGAAAUAUAGUGAUUUUAUAUCCUGUGUGAACGUUCAGGAAAUAGAACAUGCUGGAUCACACCAAACAAAAUAGAAUCUGCCACAAGAAUAUGAAACCUGAAAUAUUUUUGUUGAUCCAAGUAGAUAUACAUUUCUCACAUUGUUUAAGGAGAGGGAUUAUCUAGAGGUGUGGAUAGAUAAAGUCACUGCAACUAUACUAGUAUACUCUCUAUGUAAAACUGUGAGGACGUUAAAGCUGCCGCCAGAUGGGCAGACAGUUACUUAGGAAACUUUGAGUCAUUCAAAACGAACUAUAUGUUUUAAAACUACAAAGUUGCUUGUCGUAAAAUCUAAUUAAAAGAAAAUAAAUAAAUAGAGAGAGAAAAUUGAAAGCCCCCCUCUAUUCUCCCUUGGAAAACCUAUUCCUCAAUAUUCCUUUUGUAUGAAUUAUAUACCCACCCAUGAAUACACACAGACACACACACACAUGUGUGCUUAUAUAAUAUUUUAUACAAAUUCACUUAUAUCAUACACAGGCACACAUACAUGCACACAUACACAUUUUAUCAGUAGUCAGAGUCCAAUUAGGAAAAUAGAAACUACUAUUCUAGGUAUUUCAAACAGUGGGAAUUCAACACAGGGUAUUCGACAUGUAGGUGAUAAAAGAGCUGAGGAGCACAGAAGGGAGAGUGAGGAAACCUAUUUUUUUUUUUUAAUGAAGGCAAUAGCACUUCUAGGGCUGGAGGAAAAAUUGUAGGUCCAGAAAGAGCUAGCACCUGGCAUGAGUUACCUGGCAUGAGCUGGGAUAACAGAGAGUGGAGUUCCAGUCGCUGCUAUAGAUGCCACCCAAGGGAGACAGAGACAGAGAGAAAUAGAUAGGCUUUUCUCCUUCUAUCCUGCUCUCUUCUGCCAGUGUUGUCCCUUGGCUGGUGCUAUACCAUAGUCAGAUGCAAGGGAGUCUGGGAAAUGUAGGUAGGUCCCUGCCACAUUAAGCAGAGCAUGGGAAAAAUGAGAGAGAUCCAAGAGUAAACAGACAAAUGGCUACCACAGUCCACCCAUUUUGCCACAAAGCAUCCAUCCUCACACUUCUACCCAUGCCUAACUCUCAUAAAACGACUUCAUGUUUCCACCUCACAGAAGUCAACUAACUUUUGUACAAAUAAACACUUUCUUCCCAGAAAGGUCAAACACAAAGCACCAUCUGAAAUAAUUUUCUUCACCAUGUCCAGGAACCCCAGAUGAUAUUAGGUCCUCUCCCUCAGGACUGUAUGUGGCUCUUCACAGUUUGAUCUAAAUUCUGAAGAAAAGAACAACUAACACACUUCAUAAAAAAGUGGUAGGAGAAGGAAAAAGGGAAAAUAAUUGGUUAACAUAUAAAGAUAUACACUUAUAGAUAACGUAUUUAUAUUUAUGUUUAUUUUUAUAAUACAAAUAUAAGAAAAACAUGCAUGCCUGCUGCAGUCCUCAUUUCUGUAGCUGACUACAAGGUCAAGUUCAUAUUUAUCUCUUCUUUCUUCCACUACCCAUUCCAUGUUCCUUAUCCUUUGCUAGAAGCUCAGCUGGACAAGGUUCUUCAUCUAAUUGGGUGACAUAAACAUUUUCCCUGUGGGAUCUGAGUCAUUAGCGGUCUUUAUUUAUUGGAUUCCCACAGUUUUCCCUUAACAAGGACUGUCAGAUAAGGUAGUAUUAAGAGGCUUCCAGGGAACACCUUGAGUUCUAAGUAUACCCUUAUUCCACUAUUGUGUAGUAGCGAUCUACUUUCAUCUAGAUAAUUGUGAUCAGUCCCCCCACACAGUACAGAGAGACCCCUUCUCUGGCUGUUGAUUCAGCAUGAUGAGAAUACAAAAUGGCCAGGGCAAGUCUCAGGUUCCAUUUCAACAGGAUCUUCACUGUGUAUCCUGGUAGAAACAUUCCUUUCUUUGCACUAGGACCUCUAAACUCACUGAGCCCAAGGUUGCAGAGAUGGAAGCAAAAAUUAUUCCAGUGGGUUAUUUGGUGUAAUUAUAAAAGAGGGCCUCACAUCUCUACCUCUUAGUUCCAGGACUGAUGCAUUCUGGCUGUGAGGAAGACAGUAUGAUAUAGUGGCCACUUGUUAAGGCAUAUCCCACACUGAGGACAGCACUCCAACCUCACAGAGUGUUGUCUUACAGCUGAGACUCUAGCUGAGUCGUCAGCAGGCCAUUUCAUAAAGUUAGCUGCUUCUGGGUCAUGAGUUACAUGGUAAGGCCAGUGAACUCCACAGGCACAAGCCUACUGCUGCACUUACUUGACAGUAAAAUCUACCUCCUUCUCAGAGACAAUGGAUAAAGCAUUCUAUAAGUCCACAAGUGAUGAUGCUGGCAGAAGGACUGUGGGAAAGGAAGGUAAACCUGUACCCAGAAUAUAUUUCUUUGGGGACAGAUUUCUUCCCCUUCCGUGAUAGGAAAGAUCCAAGGUAACAAAUACACCACUGGUGGCCAGAUGUUUCCUCAGAAGAAAGGUGCCAUAUGAGGUCCUCAGGAUGGCCUCUGCUGUUGGGUGCUUGGGCAUUUAGCAGCAGAGAAAGCCAGAUAUUCACUGAUAGAGGAAGUCUUUCUUACUGAGCCCAUGGAUAACCUCCAUCCCUGCCACUAAGGCCCCUUUGUAUAUGGGCCCAUCAAGCAAGAACUAUGGGCUACAGAAAGAGGCUGGCUGACACCACAGAUCAGAUGAUCUUCUCUAUUUGAUUCUUGAGAGCCUCCUCUGCUGAGAUUGCUCUUUGGUGAGCAUUUUCAAGGGAUACACAUAAUCCUUACACUCUGUGCCUAUUUGAGAAGCCCAUAAACGACCUCAGACUUUUGUCACCAGUUUUCCAAUCUGCCCAAUCCAAUCUCAUAGAAAUAACUUCUGUUUGAUAAUGGAUUGCAGCCGCAUAUAUCCAGGCUUUUAGUUUGUUGGAUCAGAUAGCAUUAGUUCAUGGUGAGUAGGAGAGCUCAUAGCUCAAGUAAAUUUAGAAUCCAUCGUGUCUAGCGUUCAUUAUCCACCUGAACUAUGCAAAGUCUUCCAUCUAGUAUCUAUAUUUGCCACUUGAAUCUGCUAAGGGGCACAGAACCUUGCUCUGCAGACUGUGCCUUACAUAGAACCUUCUCUUGCCCUAGGCCUCACUCAAAAUUGGCAGGGUUACGAGUUUCUUAAUAAAUAGGUCAGAGUGGCACACUCAAAUACAAUAUAUGUUGCCUCCAAUAUCCAAAGUGUCCCACUGAGCUUUACACUUCUGAUUUGGUGGUAAGUGGUGCAAGGUGCAGGAACUUGUCUGGGGCAUAUAACCCUACAUGUGCCUCAGAAACGUCACUGAUGUGUCAGGCCCCUGAAUUUUUAUGGGAUUUUUCUUCCACCUCCUGGUAUACAUUUGUAUUUGCAUGACAUCUGGGAUUCUUGCUCUUUUCUGCUCAACAUGCUCAGCAUGAUGCUAACAAUGAUCUCCUGUGAGAUGUCGUUGAUCAAGGACCCUGUGGAUUAUAUUAUGACAAUGCAGGAGAGUUCACAUUGCUCUGAGGUUUACUGAUGUCUCUGCCAGGUGAAAACAGACUGCUUUUGAUAAUCCAUACUAAUUGAUGUAAGAAAAAACAUCUGUCAGCUGCAAAUCAAACACCAGGGACUGUGUUCAUUCGCUCCAGCAAAGAUACAACACUUGGAAAAGUAGCUGUGAUUGGAGUCAUCACUUAAUUAACUUCAGUGAUUCACAGGCAUUCUCCAAAUUCAUCUGCCUUUUAUACUGGCCAGUUAAAGAAAGUUAAACAAAGAUGUGAUAGGAAUCAACAGCCUCCAAUGUUCAAGUCCUUAAUGGUAGCACUAAUCUUUGUAAUCUCCACAGGGAGGUGUUAUUACUUCUGAUUUACUAUUUUAAGUAGGAGAACAUUUUCCCUUGGCUUCCAUUUGACCCUUCUUACCACAAUAGCCCUUAUGCCAUGGGUCAGACACUGAUAUAAGUAUUCUACCAGUUGCUAAAUAUAAAUAUUUUCAACAUGAAUUCAGCACUUCAAAAAAUGUAGGGUGGCUCCUUUAUAUGCUGGGACCACUGUGAAACAAUCUUGUGGCAGAACUUAAUUUAUCCCCUAAUAUCCAUAAGCCCUCACUCUGUUCAGUAGACCACAAUGCCAUUUCUAGCCCCUAGAAAUUAUUGUUAACUCAGAGCUAGUGUCCAUUUUACAUUUUCCCCCAAGGACACAGUCAUCCUAGUAAAUGACCACAGGUCCUCCUUCGAGGUGACAUAGACUCCCCUUCAAUUAAUGGACUCCAGCUCUGUAAACUGGCUUAGGAGUAGAACAUGGCAAGACACCAUAAUUUGUUAUUGUGACUACUCAAGUCAGGUUUCUGCUCAAUAGGCCUAGGGUUUUUCUAGUAAUGUAAACCCCAUAAUUCUCACUGAAAUCAGAGUCCAUUUCAAUGUCAGUAUCUCCCCACACUGAUUCGUUUCUCAAUGACUUAUUCGAGGGAAAGUGUCCUCCAAGCCCCUCCUCCUCCUCCCUGGAACAUAGUUAGGGGCAAGGGAAUAUUUUGAACGUGAUAAAUUCACUCCAUCAUUUCUGUCUCCCUAAACCUUUGGAUUUCUUUUACAACAUCAUGCUAGGGCAGGUAUGACAUCGUAAGGUCAUUGAUUUUAGACUACCGCUGAAUUCAAUUUUUAGUUUAACAACCAAGAAAACUCUUAGAAACACAACUGCCUAAGACAACAUAGGAAAUCCAGAAUCUCGGGUAAGUGUACCUGUUUCAAUAGAUUCAGCUCAAUCUAAUAUUAUAUUCCAAUCAUCUUGAGCUAACAUCAUUAGAAUCCAUUCUUACAUGUUUCCCUAAUAUAAAUUAGCAACAGCUUGAAAUUCUUUUAAUGUAGCUGUCUCCUACUGGAGCUGACUCUGAAUCCUCUCCCUGGGGAAUGCUGUAUCUGACUCGAGGUAUAAGGCAAUGAGAAUAGGCAUCACCUUGUAAAUUAACCAUUUUGGUGGAUCAUUACAGCAUCUUUAAGCAGGAAAAGACCUGUCUCCUCAGAGAGAGGAAGAGGAGGAGUUGUUUCCACUGACGAGGGGAGCUCAGAAGGAUUAGAAUUACAAGUUCUCAGAUCCAUCAGAAUCCACCCAAAUGUUCUUAUUCCACAUAUAAGGGUCCCAGUCUUUCCUGAUUCACUAAUUUUAACACAAAAAACUUUUAGAAGUUGUAUAUUUGAGUUACAUUUAAAUUAUGUAUACCACACAAUUAGAUUUUAGGCUGUAUCCUCAGCCAUAGAUGCCUUAUGAGCAUGCGCACACACGCACACACAAUGGCACUGUAAGAGCCAUUUUGUUCUGUGUCCGUGCCUUGAGCUGAGAGUUUACAUUUCUAGACUUAUUUUAUUUCUAUUAGCUCUCUAGAACAGUCAGAAGCAGCAAUCCCAUCGCACAGAACUUGCGCUCAUUUAACCGUGAUGGCGAGUACAGCAAGCACUUCAUGGCCCAGUCUUCCCUUCGGUUGACACUUCCUACCAAGCUAUAACAGGUGAUAAGAUAAUUUAAAUAAUUGUGAUGCCACUACAUGCCACAGAUUUCUAGUAACCCAUAAGCAGAAUAGGGUUCUACUUGUAAGGAGGUUUUAUGGUAGUCAGCCUUAAAGAGGGGAGGAACGCAAUACCAGAAUUCCAUUUUGAGAGACAAUUUCUUAGGGUUUUUGGUAGAGAGUUGGCAAAAAUGAACGUUAUUAUCCCUUCUCUGUAUCCACGCCCUUUUUGCAUUUCCCCGGCUGACAUUAUCAAACAGCCAGAUAUGUGAACAUGGAACAGCAAGUCCCCACCAGCCAUACAACCCCAGAGUGCUGUAGAUACAGGAGCCUCCCCAGCUGAGAUCAGCCGAGCUUGACUCACAUCAGCAGCAAAAGAUCCAUAGACUCACGAGCAAAAAUAAAGCACUGUUGCUUUAAGCCGUUAAAGUUCGGGAUGUGCUGUUAUACAGAAAAAGCUAAUUGAUACAAGAGAACUCCUAGUACCAGGAACUAUAUCAACCAGGAUCCAGUCAGGAAAAUCUGAGUAUUUCAAAUGAGGGAUUUUAAUUCAAGAAUUGGUUACACAGGUGAUGGAAUUGCUAAGGAGCUACAUGGGACAGUGAGGCACUGAGAAGCUGUGAGCAUUCCAAAAGCCAGAAGGGCACAAGAAGGAGGUCAAACAAGCCAGGGCCAUCAGUGGGAGCUGGAACCUCCUGCAACCAUGAAGGGCGCAGCUAGGUCUGAUGGAAGCUGGAAUCACAAAGGAGACUUUAAGUGGAGCUUUGUGCUUUUUCUCUACGUGCUCUAGUGCCUUUAGACACACCAUUUAACCUGCCAGUUGGUCCUUAAUUUCUUUAUGUCCUUCAUUUCAUUAAAAACGUUAAUAUAUUUGAGUAAUACAGUGUCUGGCACAUAAGUCAGUGUUAUAUCAGUCGUUGUCGUCAUCAUCAUAUAUUUUUAUGGCAGGAACUAUUAUUCUCCAAAGCGUUUGUCUUUGAUGAGCACCUCAUUCAUGGGAGCACAGGGAUAAUUUAAUUAGCUGUUUACUACAAUAUUCCACAGGCUGCCAGAUACCUAGUUCUGAAUACUAACGUGAUUUUUCAAUUGCUUUUAGCCCCAAACAAGUCCUGAUAACCAAUUCUAGAUUCCUCCCAUUUUCCCUGAGUAUAUGUUAUCUACAACCUCUCUCUUUGGUACCAAUCCUAGAAAUUGGUAUCAGGGCACUGAAAACAAUCCUGAUUCAUUUAAACAGAGGAAGAAUUUAUGGAAUUGCAUGUUGGGUAGAAAAGUUGAGCCCUCAAAUCUUGUGGCCUAACACACAAAAAAGCUUCUCACUCACCCUACAUAUCCAGUGCUCGUUGGAGCCAGGCAAUCUUCUCCAUAUUUUCACCUGGGGACCCAGAAUGAUGGAGGGUCCACUCUCUGUGAUAUUACCAAUCACAAUGUCAUGGGAAGAGAGACACUAGACAAUGACGCAGGGGCCUUUCAGUGCUUCAGCCUGGACUUACUGCAUGCCCCUGCCAAGUGCAGAAGGGCUAGGAAGUGGAGUUUGCCAUCUGCCUGGGGAGGAAGAGAGAACUAGAGAGUGGUGAGUGAUAGGAAUGUUCACUACCGAGGGUAGGAACAGUACUUACCAAAUAGCUGCCGAAAGAGAAAUAUAAAGGAUGAAGAAAAAGAUGUUGCACCUUUUCCAUCAUUCAUAUACACACAGCACACCAUUCAAAAUGUAUUUCUGUAAGUCAAAAUCAGUCAUCAAGAAAAACAUGGAAGCUCAACAAAGAAAACUAAGAGCAAAACAUUCUUUAAAUCCAUUAAUUUUUCAAAUGAAGUUCUACUAUCUGGCAGCAAUGAGAAGAACUUGCUACCAGAUGUAUCAUUAUGACAAUAUCAUUAUGACUUUCUAAUGCUUUCAUCAUCAAAAGAGUCUGGUGACAUCACCAUUAGCAGACGAUUCAAAUACCAGGAGAGUAUUGUACAAUAUCUGACUUUUUUUUUUUUUUUUUUUUACAAAGUCCCAAAAAUAUGAUGCUUGGAAAACAUCCUAGGACUUCUUCUCUUCACAUCACUGAAACUAAAGUGAAGGCUCUUAGGACGGCAUGACAGUUUGAAUGGUCUGGCAAAAUGAGAAUGAAUUCUAAAUGGAAAAUGCUGUUAUUGAUUUCAUUUGCUUUAUCGCUGACAUUGAUUAAGCAUCAUUUCCGAAUAAAGAAGCACCUACAGAAGAUGAACUUCUGCUGGGAUCAUGAAGCAGAAGAACCUCAGCUC